Molecule: ribosomal RNA, 253 nt
Filed under: uncultured bacterium
Lineage: Bacteria
Description: partial 16S ribosomal RNA
Rfam family: Bacterial small subunit ribosomal RNA
Source: RNAcentral
UACGAAGGGGGCUAGCGUUGCUCGGAAUUACUGGGCGUAAAGCGCGCGCAGGCGGCUAUCCAAGUCAGUGGUGAAAGCCCGGAGCUCAACUCCGGAACUGCCAUUGAAACUGUUUAGCUUGAGGAUGAGAGAGGUGAGUGGAAUUCCCAGUGUAGAGGUGGAAUUCGUAGAUAUUAGGAAGAACACCAGUGGCGAAGGCGGCUCACUGGUCCGGUACUGACGCUGAGGUGCGAAAGCGUGGGGAGCAAACAGG